Molecule: ribosomal RNA, 435 nt
Filed under: uncultured bacterium
Lineage: Bacteria
Description: partial 16S ribosomal RNA
Rfam family: Bacterial small subunit ribosomal RNA
Source: RNAcentral
AGCGAACGCUGGCGGCAUGCUUAACACAUGCAAGUCGAGCGGACACUCUCGGAUGUCGGCGGCGGACGGGUGGGUAACGCGUGGUAACGUGCCCUCUGGUUCGGAAUAACUCAGGGAAACUUGAGCUAAUACCGGAUACGCCCAUUUGGGGAAAGGCUUUCUGCCGUAGGAUCGGCCCGCGUCUGAUGAGCUAGUUGGUUAGUUAACGUCUCACCAAGCCGACUAUCAGUAGCUGGUCUGAGAGGAUGAUCAGCCACACUGGGACUGAGACACAGCACAGACUCCUACGGGAGGGAGGAGUGGGGAAUAUUGGACAAUGGGCGCAAGGCUGAUCGAGCCAUGCCGCGUGAGUGAUGAAGGCAUUAGGGUAGUAAUGCUCUUUUAUCCGGGACGAUAAUGACGGUACCGGAGGAAUAAGCCACGGCUAACUUCGUG